CUAAUGCCUGUGAUGGUGUUAAAUAUACUUUGAGAUGACUUUCUGUGAAAAAUUUUUGAUCUGAGGCACCAU
This is a non-coding RNA of Cucumis sativus (cucumber), 72 nucleotides long. The record is from Rfam. Lineage: Eukaryota; Viridiplantae; Streptophyta; Magnoliopsida; Cucurbitales; Cucurbitaceae.